This is a non-coding RNA of Parelaphostrongylus tenuis, 66 nucleotides long. The record is from the annotation of a GenBank genome assembly. NCBI's taxonomy places the organism in Eukaryota, Metazoa, Nematoda, Chromadorea, Rhabditida, Metastrongylidae.
GUCCGUGGUAGGCAGCGCAUUCGGCUGUUAACCGAAAGGUUGGUGGUUCGAGCCCACCCGGGAGCA